Manis javanica (Malayan pangolin) is the source of this 104-nucleotide small nuclear RNA. The record is from RefSeq and is a predicted model, not a curated record. Lineage: Eukaryota; Metazoa; Chordata; Mammalia; Pholidota; Manidae.
UUGGUGCUUGCUUCAACAGCACAAAAACUGGAAGGAUACCAAGAAGAUUAGCAUGGACUCUGCACAAGAAUGACACACAAAUUUGUAACGCAGUCCAUAUAAAA